GCCGGGGUAGCUCAGCGGUUAGUAGCAGGGUCUUCAUAAGGCCAAGGUCGUGAGUUCAAAUCUCACCCCC
This is a non-coding RNA of Parcubacteria group bacterium CG1_02_39_15, 70 nucleotides long. The record is from Rfam.